UACGUAGGGUGCGAGCGUUGUCCGGAAUUAUUGGGCGUAAAGAGCUCGUAGGCGGUGUGUCACGUCGGCCGUGAAAACCUGCAGCUUAACUGUGGGCGUGCGGUCGAUACGGGCAUCACUGGAGUUCGGCAGGGGAGACUGGAAUUCCUGGUGUAGCGGUGAAAUGCGCAGAUAUCAGGAGGAACACCGGUGGCGAAGGCGGGUCUCUGGGCAGUAACUGACGCUGAGAAGCGAAAGCGUGGGGAGCGAACAGG
This 254-nucleotide ribosomal RNA is filed under the name uncultured bacterium. Its description in RNAcentral is "partial 16S ribosomal RNA". It matches the Rfam family "Bacterial small subunit ribosomal RNA", at positions 524 to 776 of the family's 1533-position model. The record is from RNAcentral.